RNAcentral lists this ribosomal RNA (253 nucleotides) under uncultured bacterium. RNAcentral describes it as "partial 16S ribosomal RNA". It matches the Rfam family "Bacterial small subunit ribosomal RNA", at positions 524 to 776 of the family's 1533-position model. The record is from RNAcentral.
UACGAAGGGGGCUAGCGUUGCUCGGAAUUACUGGGCGUAAAGCGCACGUAGGCGGCUUUCUAAGUCGGAGGUGAAAUCCUGGAGCUCAACUCCAGAACUGCCUUCGAUACUGGAGAGCUCGAGUCCGGGAGAGGUGAGUGGAACUGCGAGUGUAGAGGUGAAAUUCGUAGAUAUUCGCAAGAACACCAGUGGCGAAGGCGGCUCACUGGCCCGGUACUGACGCUGAGGCACGAAAGCGUGGGGAGCAAACAGG